This 943-nucleotide ribosomal RNA is filed under the name Elphidium sp. RNAcentral's name for it is "SSU rRNA". It matches the Rfam family "Eukaryotic small subunit ribosomal RNA", at positions 1160 to 1789 of the family's 1831-position model. The record is from RNAcentral. Lineage: Eukaryota; Foraminifera; Rotaliida; Elphidiidae.
AAGGGCACCACAAGAACGCGUGGAGCAUGUGGCUUAAUUUGACUCAACGCGGGAAAUCUUACCGGGUCCGGACACACUGAGGAUUGACAGACAAAAUUUAUACACUCUUACGUGUAUAAUUCUUCACAAAUAUGCUAGUUCUUUCAUGAUUAUGUGAUAGGUGGUGCAUGGCCGUUCUUAGUUCGUGGAGUGAUCUGUCUGCUUAAUUGCGUUUCACUAUAUACGGACUGAUAUACUCAAAUUAUGCACUCAUACACCAAUACUCUCUUACGGGGGCAUAUAAGUGUGUAUAGUGUAUAUAUACAUACGGUCCUUUAGAAAGCAACGAACGUGACCGCAACCUCUUGUUGACUCGUUUAAACACUGGUGCGAGUAUGCAUAUAUGCUACAACUAGAGGGACCGCUGUUUCUUUCUUUAAACCAGAGGAAGGUUGCGGCAAUAACAGGUCUGUGAUGCCCUUAGAUGUUCCGGGCUGCACACGUGCUACAAUGAUCAUUGCAGUGAGCAUCUCAAACACACUCAUAGUCUCUUACGUCUUGUUACGUGCUUUGCAUGUAUGCAUGCGUAUAGACUUUUAGCCUACUUCGAUAGUACAGUGGGUAAUCAAUUAGAAGUAAUGAUUUCCUCGCGUUUAUAGCACACCGUAUACGCAUAUACACUCUCUCGCGUACAUGCUUAUCGCUGUUACGCAUAUGUGUGUUAUAUGACCGUAUGUGCAAUUGUCAAUUCAUGGUGGGGACAGACCAUUGUUAAUUGUUGGUCUCGGUCUUAACUAGGAAUGCCUUGUACGGGUCUUUGGUUCAACAAACCACCCGGAAUACGUCCCUGCCCUUUGUACACACCGCCCGUCGCUCUUACCGAUGGACUUCUCUGUGAGUUUGAGGGACUCACGUACGUUCAGGGAAACUCAAACGAACAGUGUGGUCUAAAGGAAAGAGAAGU